Molecule: ribosomal RNA, 606 nt
Filed under: Pseudozyma sp. DMKU-SP77
Lineage: Eukaryota; Fungi; Basidiomycota; Ustilaginomycetes; Ustilaginales; Ustilaginaceae
Description: LSU rRNA
Rfam family: Eukaryotic large subunit ribosomal RNA
Source: RNAcentral
AAACUAACAAGGAUUCCCCUAGUAACGGCGAGUGAAGAGGGAAGAGCCCAAGAUUGAAAGCUGGCGUCUUCGGCGUCCGCAUUGUAAUCUCAAGAAGUGUUUUCCGCUUCGGACCAUGCCUAAGUCCCUUGGAAAAGGGCAUCAUAGAGGGUGAUAAUCCCGUACAUGGCAUGGAGCGCCCGAAGCUUUGUGAUACGCUUUCUAAGAGUCGAGUUGUUUGGGAAUGCAGCUCAAAAUGGGUGGUAAAUGCCAUCUAAGGCUAAAUAUUGGGGAGAGACCGAUAGCGAACAAGUACAGUGAUGGAAAGAUGAAAAGAACUUUGAAAAGAGAGUUAAACAGUACGUGAAAUUGCCAAAAGGGAAGGGUAGGAGGUCAGAGAUGCGGCCUGGGAUUCAGCCUUGCUUUUGCUUGGUGUUUUUCCCAGAUUGCAGGCCAACGUCGGUUUUGGGCACUGGAGAAGGGUAGGAGGAACGUGGCACCUCUCGGGGUGUGUUAUAGCCUCCUACUGGAUACAGCGACAGAGACCGAGGUCAGCAGCGUACUCGCAAGAGCGGGCCUUCGGGCACCUUUACGCUUAGGGCGUUGGCAUAAUGGCCCUCUACCACC